CACCAGCGCCACGAGUAGGAGCCGCUUUUAUUUGGCCUAAAGCAUCCGUAGCCGGAUUUGCAAAUCCUUUGUGAAAUUGUUGGGCUUAACCUAACAGCGUGCAAAGGACACUACAUUUCUUGAGACUGGAGAGGAGUUAGAGGUAUUCUGGGGGGAGCGGUAAAAUGCUAUAAUCCUCAGAGGACCACCUGUGGCGAAGGCGUCUAACUAGAACAGUUCUGACGGUGAGGGAUGAAAGCUGGGGGAGCGAUCC
This 253-nucleotide ribosomal RNA is filed under the name uncultured archaeon. RNAcentral's name for it is "partial 16S ribosomal RNA". It matches the Rfam family "Archaeal small subunit ribosomal RNA", at positions 474 to 725 of the family's 1478-position model. The record is from RNAcentral.